RNAcentral lists this long non-coding RNA (1195 nucleotides) under Piliocolobus tephrosceles (Ugandan red Colobus). RNAcentral's name for it is "lncRNA (ENSPTEG00000020606.1)". Lineage: Eukaryota; Metazoa; Chordata; Mammalia; Primates; Cercopithecidae. The record is from RNAcentral.
AUGUUUAUCGCCAUUUAUAAAAUAAUAAUUUUUUCGUUUUUUACAUGGAUAUGGACUUCUAACAACAGAGUAAAAAUAUUAGCUCUGCUUAGAAAUAUAUCAAAUACACAUUAUCCUAGAUCACUGGCUGAAUAUGAUAUCCCCAUAAAAGAACGGAACGAUCGUUUAUAUAAAACAAACUAUAACGACAUCAAUGACAUUAAUAACUUUUAUGAACAUUGUGAACAAAAUAUAAGUAGUGAUAAUGACCCAACUGAGUAUGUUACACCAAUUGAUGAAUACUGUGAAAAUAUAUCAGUUUUUUUAAACGAGAUUAAGAAAGAAUUAAUUAAAAUGUUAGCUGACCAAUCUAAUCUCCAAAUAACGAAUAUAUUAAUAAAAAAUAAAAAUAUACAAGAAAAAGACCUAAUACAAAUAUAUGAUCUUAUUAAACAUGUCAUUUCAAGUAAUGAAUAUAUGCAAAUUUUAAAGGAAACUUGCGAAUUAUUAAAAGGUAGAAAUACGAACAAUAAUAAUGAUGAAAGGUGUUACAAAUCGAUGAUACACCUACUUAAUACAUAUUUCUUUCUUACCAACAAUAAAACAGAUUUUAACGAACGCCUUACUCAGUUAGAUAAUCAGAAACAACAAACAUUUAAAAAAAAAAAACUUAUAGCGAAAUAUUUAAAUAUAUUUAAACUUAAUGAUAAAAUAUAUAAACAAUUUAGAAAAAUGUUACUCAAACAAAUGAUAAAAAAAACAAUAAAUUCAAAAGUAAAAUUAUCAAAUAAAAAAAUUGUGAAGUUAUUGAGUUAUGCUUCAUAUAAUGUAAUAUUAGUAUAUAUAAUUACGUUUUUAACAAUACCCUUUGGAUCGUACGUCCUCAUAUGUACAUUAUUGUCACUGUAUGUAUUCAUAUGUGUACACUCAACAUAUAAAAUUAUUAGAGAUCUAAUUUACAUAAGCGCAAUUAUAGAAGGUUCAAAACUACCAAACAGAAAAUAUUUUAAUUAACAAUAUAUAUAUAUAUAUACCAUAAACAAAUUAUAACACAAUAUAAUAUUUAUAAUAUAGUAAUUUUAAUAUUGUUUAUAUGUGUUUUUGUUGAUGUUCAAAACGUUAGAACUUAAACAUAUAUAACUUUUUAAACUUAAUGAAUAUUAAAACAAAUAACCAUUUAAUUAUUGCUUACCUAAUAAAAUGUUAAAAAAAUACA